Molecule: transfer RNA, 72 nt
Filed under: Chloroflexota bacterium
Lineage: Bacteria; Bacillati; Chloroflexota
Also listed under: 1 other name
Description: Chloroflexi bacterium tRNA-Gly
Rfam family: tRNA
About the family: Transfer RNA (tRNA) molecules are approximately 80 nucleotides in length. Their secondary structure includes four short double-helical elements and three loops (D, anti-codon, and T loops). Further hydrogen bonds mediate the characteristic L-shaped molecular structure. tRNAs have two regions of fundamental functional importance: the anti-codon, which is responsible for specific mRNA codon recognition, and the 3' end, to which the tRNAs corresponding amino acid is attached (by aminoacyl-tRNA synthetases). tRNAs cope with the degeneracy of the genetic code in two manners: having more than one tRNA (with a specific anti-codon) for a particular amino acid; and 'wobble' base-pairing, i.e. permitting non-standard base-pairing at the 3rd anti-codon position.
Source: RNAcentral
GCGGGUAUAGCUCAAUCGGCAGAGCGCCAGCCUUCCAAGCUGGAUGUACGGGUUCGAGACCCGUUACCCGCU